AGAACGAACGCUGGCGGCGUGGAUAAGACAUGCAAGUCGAACGCUGAGAAUCAGGUAGCAAUAUUUGAUUUUUUGGAGUGGCGUAAGGGUGCUUAACACGUGGGUAAUUUGCCGCAAAACCCGGGAUAACCCCGAGAAAUCGGGGCUAAUACCGGAUGUGACCUCCUGGGGGCAUCCUUGGGAGUUGAAGGCUGGGGACUGUUAAAGGCCUGGCUAUUUUGCGAUAAGCCCGCGGCCUAUCAGCUAGUUGGUGAGGUAACGGCUCACCAAGGCUUGGACGGGUAGCUGGUCUGAGAGGACGACCAGCCACACUGGAACUGAGACACGGUCAGACACCGUACGGGUGCGAGCGAGUCAGUAAUUUUCACUAAGUCGGGGGACCACCUAGAACGGAGCGAACGCCGCGGU
This 408-nucleotide ribosomal RNA is filed under the name uncultured soil bacterium. Its description in RNAcentral is "bacterial SSU rRNA". It matches the Rfam family "Bacterial small subunit ribosomal RNA", at positions 26 to 403 of the family's 1533-position model. The record is from RNAcentral.